GUGCGUAAAAAGUAACUUUGUAUAUUUUUAUGUUUUCUUGGCUAAACAUAGAUUAUUACAAAUGGAAUAAAGUAUGGUUUAAGAAGUGAAAAGUGCAAUCCCAUUUUGGGGGGUAAAUUUAUGUAUGUUUACGUACAUCUGACUAGAAUUGAAUUAAAAUAUCGCACCUUGUAUACAGAAUGAAGCGGAACUAUAAAAAUAUCGUGUGAUCUCGUGUGAUUUCUCUACGAUAUCACUGUCGUCGUCGUCGUCCGUCACCACCAUCGACCAACAAACAGAGUUCUAAUCACAGCCACCGCCGCCGCCGCCGCUGCUGCUGCUGCUGCGACCGCCACUCCGACUUCCCCGCCGACUACUCUUACCAGCCAUUUACUCAAAAUUUUGUUUUGGUCUUCGAUCGGCACACGGACCAUGUAUGUGAUGUUUGCCGCUCAUCGACGGAUAUUUUACCAUUUCUCACUGGCUCCUAGCAACAGACUUAGCGAAGCACACCUGGAUUAAGCCACUGUGUAUUUUUAGGUAUGUUUUGAAAUUUUUUUUUUUACUUGCAUUUCCUGAAAAUACUUGAGAUUAUGAAGCGAGAGGUUUUUUUUCUCUCUCUCUCUCUCUCUCUUCUUGUUUUGCGUACAUUCUUUCGACUGACAAUGUUGGUCUGACACUACACAUACGCACUCACCAACACAUACAACACUGGGAAGCCAUCCAGUUCUGGCUGCCGAAUAUCUUCUGCUAUUUCCACACAACACGAAACACGCAGCUACAGUUUUCUUGUACUUUCUUCAUGAAAUUGUUUAAUAAAUUAAGGUUUAUUAAAGUUAAAGCAAACUUGCGGACAAUGCCCGAUUAUCUGCAGCGAUAAAUUAACGCAUUUUUUUUACUGUACAAAAAAUACUUAUCUUGUUUGUCGAUAUGGUAACAUUUAGAAUAAAAUAAAAAGGCUGUUGAGAAAUUGUGAACAUUUCUGAAAAGGUAUAAGCAACAUAAAUUUGUAGAUAUUCAAUAUGCGCUUUCCUAUGAAUAUAUACCCUUAUCUAAAAGAUGGAGAAGAGGAGAAAAGAAACCUAAUCGUCAAUAUUCAUCAAAUCGCACACACAUUAUAUACGAUACAUUACAUAUGCAUUGGUACAUACACACACACAGACACACACACACACACACGAAUAAUCCUUAGACUUGUUUGUUUAUACACAUAUAUUUAUUGACUUAUUUGAACAUACUUAGGUACUUAGCAUUUUUUGUAAUUUACACAGUCAGACCAACUAUUUAACCGAUUUUAUUGCAGCUACCAUCGUAUAUUCUAGACAGAUUACUGCAGCGUUACUGAUGCUGGUUGCUCUGUCAGUCGAACAUAUAUAUAUAUUGUUUCUAAGACUAAAAGAUUAACUUUAGUUUCUCUUCUGUCUCCCACCCACGAUAUAAUGCUGCUAAUCUGUCAACAUCUAACAUCGUUGCACACAACAUAAAACACACAUGAAGCUGCUUGCUGCCUUCAGAGACGUUUUGGAUGAUUAGAAUUUGUUGCAUUAUUAUUUUUUUUCUUCUGCGAUCGGCAGGUGAUACUCAAUGGUUUGUAUAUCUUUGGACCAAAUCCCGUCCUUCAGUAUGAGGAGUUUUUUUCUUUUGCUUUCCAUAUUUUUCUUUCUUACCCGUCUACUUCUAUUUAUUUAUCGAAAGAAAUUAUCUCUAACGUUUGAAAUUUAAUUUUCUCUUUGUAUUUUCUGCUAUCGUAGAAUUAAGAAGUCCCUGCCUCUAUCUACAUAAAUAAAACAUAGAUAUCAUACGUACGUUCAUUCAUACAUACAUUUCAUAGAUACAGCUGUGACUACUAUCUGUAUAUCUAUCUGUGUAUUAUAGUAUUAAUUUUCUGUGUGCUAAGAUCAAAUAUUGCGAAGAUUUUUUUUUUUUCAUUAAUUACGCGUAGGAAAGCCGAUAUUUUAGUUUUGUCAAAUGAGGGAAACAAUCGUAGUCUGCAAUAUUACCGGUAGAAUUUCAAGAAUCUGUAAUUAAUCUUUACUAUUGUAAUAUCAUGCUAUAAUUUUGCUAAUUAAAGAAUACUUUCCGAUAGAUGCUAGAUAUAUUGUUCUUAUCAAUCGCAGCAUAAGAAUAUGUCUGUUGUGAAGAAUAUGUUUUAUCCUCUUUCGAUAAUAUUUUCAAAGGAGGCAAAUAUAUGGACGCAUUCGUGUUUAAUCUAUCUUCAACAAACGCCAACCUUCUUACCCUGCCAACAACCGGCUUCAUUUACAUCUGUCAUUUAUAAGGCUUUAGACAGAACCGGUGCGAACUAAUUCUUAUACCACCUUGAAUCAUAUUUUGAACCGCAAAGAUCUCUAUCAUGGGUUCUGAAGAGGUAGAUCCACCACAGACCAUCUCUUCUCCAUUUUUUACACCAUGAUAUAAUGUCUUGCCCUUGAAAAUUUUGGCAAAAGCAAAGUUGUUGCCCUUGACAUCAGGUAAACCUUUGACCAAGCUUAGGUAUCUUCUCCCAAAGCCGGUUAUCCAUGCUAAACUUCACCGUUACCACUUGUUACUUAAACACUGGACUGAAAGCUGCCUAGUAAGUUGAACCAUAAGAGUAUGUGUUUAAGGAGUGAUCUUCAAAUGUAUUAAACCAAAUCAGGUGUACCUUAGUACUCAGUUAUAUUUUAACACUUUUCAACUUUUACCUAUUUACUACGUACAUUCUUACACUGAGACCAUCAUAGACUCCACCUCCACGUUUUGUAUACUGAUUUGUCCAAUCCUGUCACUGCCUGCCAGGCCUUUGCACUGACUGGAAAUAUCUAAAACACUCAUUAAUGAGGACUUGACAAGCUGGCUUUUUGCAGAAGAGGCAUAGCAGAAAUCCUGAAGAC
RNAcentral lists this long non-coding RNA (2852 nucleotides) under Octopus vulgaris (common octopus). Lineage: Eukaryota; Metazoa; Mollusca; Cephalopoda; Octopoda; Octopodidae. The record is from RNAcentral.